GAGAGAAUAGGUGGAAGAGAGAUCAACUAGAAAGGUAGAGUCAACUGAUCUUGAUGUGGAGAGGGUGAGAAGAGAGAAAAAUAUCCUAAUCUUUGGCAACUCUGCUGCUAAAGCGGAAAUAGUAGGAAGAAGUGAGAGGAGAUGAGAACCUGCUUUGAAAAUGUAAACUCACAUUUCCAGUUGUGAGAGGUGACUGGACAGGACGCACUUCUGGCAGAGAAUGAGGAAAGACUUUUCAAACAUUGGGUACUGCACAUGCAGCACAUCAUGCUUCAACACCAAAGAAUUUUUUCUUCUAACAGUACAGCAUGGAAGACAUAUAGAGCAUACGUUGACCUAGGACCGUAGGCUUCCC
This 355-nucleotide long non-coding RNA is filed under the name Equus asinus (donkey). Its description in RNAcentral is "lncRNA (ENSEASG00005028954.1)". The record is from RNAcentral. Lineage: Eukaryota; Metazoa; Chordata; Mammalia; Perissodactyla; Equidae.